This is a non-coding RNA of Chiloscyllium plagiosum (whitespotted bambooshark), 4062 nucleotides long. The record is from RefSeq and is a predicted model, not a curated record. NCBI's taxonomy places the organism in Eukaryota, Metazoa, Chordata, Chondrichthyes, Orectolobiformes, Hemiscylliidae.
UCGUCGCCGUUGCCGCUACCCCCCUCCUCCCCCACCGCUUCGUCUUCCCGGGGCCGGCUCGAGUGCCACCGUUCAACUGCACGAUACGGUGGACAAUGACCCCAACCAUCUAAGCGACGUGCAUUUUAACGUUCCGACAGAUCUGGGGCCUCUUAAAGGACGGGGCGAUGACCAGAAACGAAUGGCAAUGCAGAAUCCUUUGUUUGCGCGGCAGGAGGCGGCAGUUGUGAGAUGGUCACUGUUUUCCUCCCUCUUUGAUUGACAGCAGAUUACUGGAUGGGCUCGAAUUACACACAUGGCCAAUUAGAUGGUAUCUUCCUGCAGUACACAAGAGGCCAAAAAUUAUAUAUUUUUUCAUCCUGGGGAAAAUGUUGACGGAUUAUUGUAACGGACGCAAGUGGAAUGAUCACGUGCAAUACAGAAGCAAAGAAAUAUGGAAACCUGAAAUAAAAAUAGAAAAUGCUGGAAAUGCUCAACAGGCUUGGCAGCAUCUGUAAAGAGAGGGGCAUUUUAUGUUAGGGUCUCAGAUCUUUCAGAAGAACUAAUAUGUUUCUAAUGCUUAAAACCAUGCAACGACCCAAUGAAUCUAAUGAGAUAUUGUCCUUCCAUUCCGCAGGACUAAAAAUGUUCAUCCUCAGGGAAAAGGUUGACUGAAUAUUGGAAUGGACGGAAGUUAAAUGGUCGUGUGUAAUACUUAAAAAAGGAAGCCUGAAUUGUUCUUCCAUUUGUUCGUUGUUCAGGGAGCUUUUUUUUUAAAUAAAUUGCAUAUUCUAAGAAAUAGGCUACGUAAAGUUUAAUUAAAUCGUGUACUGUUGCAAGCUAAAUUUGUGAUUUGCUGUGUGAAACAAAGAGCUGUGUGUAGGAAGAUCAAUCACUCAUCCAAACUGAAGGAAAAUCGAAAUUUAGAUUUUCCCAGUUCGGACGGAGGUCAUUGACCUGAAAGUUCUCUCGUUUUCUCUUUGCAGAUGCUGUCAAACCCACGAGUCUUUUGAACGUUUUGUUUUUGUUUCAACAUUUUUUAGAAUUCGAUUUGGCUGAUGGAAAAAGACACCAGUUUGCCAGCAGCACUUAUAAAUCAUACAAUGAAUUAAAAGGUUCCUAAGCGUUUCAUUUUCUGAUUAAUUAUCUUUGAAUUUAAGACAAAAUAACUUGCACUUUUGUAAUUUCUAAAGAAGGUGGAUGUGCUUGGGCUAUUGCAACCAUCCACAGCCCCCACUUCAGGACUGCUGCUUCUGAUUCAUCUUUUUUCAUUUACUGUACAUCUUUGGAGUCACGUUGUUUAUUUCAUUUUGUUCCAUUCCUUUUUAUCUUGCAUCGUCAUCACUUUUGUCAAUUAAUCUCUAUUGCUUUCACGGAUCUUCCCUUUUGUUCUUGCCUCUUUACCUGCUUGUUUAAAAUUCAGUACCUCUUUAACUUUUUCCAAUGACAAAUCAACGACCUGGCCGUUAGUCUGUCGCAGGGAGUAUUUCUAGUUUGCUUUAAAUUGCUGCUACCUUUUAACAUUUCAGUUUUCAAACAUCGGUAAUAUUUUGCUUUUGUUGACGUGUAACGGACUCCUUCCAAAAAGUUAUCCGGUUGGAACAAGUUGCACACAAUUGUCUGUUUCCGACAAAAAAAGGCCAGUUAGUACAGAUGUUAAUGAUGUUUUGAGUGCAAAAUUUCCUAUUCGUGAUGGGGUUUGAAUCCAGGGCUUUUUUAAGGUUUGCGCAUUUGAUUGCUCAAGCUCUUAAAACAAAACUGGUUAUUUGUUGAUCACCGGAUGCAGCAAUCCCCUAGCGAUUGGGAAGCGACGGAAGAGGAGGUGAUCGAUCGGCACGAAGUUGGAACCGAAAGAUUCAUGCAAUCCCCAUCACAGCUUAUGUGAAACGCAACAUGUGACCACUUUAGAGGAACAGCCGACGGCCCAGAUUGUGGAGUUUCCUCGGCGGACGUUCAAACCUUAAGACAGCAGACAAACGUUGCCUUGUUUGUAUUCACACAUUGCUCCUGUCAACACACCGCGUCUCGAUUGCAACAGUGACGACAAACAAGGGAAAUUUUAAAAAAACGGAAGUUCGGGCACCAUGCAGUCUAUCCCAAAAUCCCCUGCUCUUUAAAACCACAAAAGAGCUUCGGAGGGAGAGAUUGGGAGAGUGAGCUGCUCAGUUUGAUUCUGACCCUCGAGGGCCAGAGAGCCGCGCUCCCAUUCUGCUGCUUAUCCCUGACUUGGGGAAGUUGCUUUCGCUGACGGCCAGACGCUGCAAGCGGCAGCAAAUAAGAAGCGAACAAGACACUGGUCGAAAACGGGGACCUUGACAUUCAACAUGAACAAAAUCUUUAAAAUUAAUUCAACGCUUUUUCUUUGAAAAACUCCGCAAUUUUUUUAUUAGAAUUUCAGAUUUAAAGAUGCUCCACAUCGGCAUAGAUUAUUUAAUUUACACAGCAAAUUAAAGCGUUCGGAUAAUUCAAUCACCGCAAUAAGUAAACAAUGAAAAGGCAUUGACAACAGCAGGAAUAUUACAAGUAUCGCACGUACCUCUGUAUUAGCAGUAAUUACUGCAGCGUCAGGAGGAACACUUCGUAAAGUUGUUCGUUAUGUAAGACGAUUUCUGCCACCGGCAUCUAGUGUCACUGCAUUGUUGGCUGAACAAAGGUGCUUCCAGCUCAUAGAGGGCGAUGAAACAAGAACGAUCCGCAGGGAAUCCUUACAAAAUUCCACACUUAAAAAUGGCAGACAGCAGAAACAGAGAUGCAAAGUGAUUAAAAAUAUUAUGAACUAUAAUAUGCUACGUGUCUUAUGGGAAACAUACGUAUCAGUCGUUACUCUACCCUCAAAACUGAACAAGUGAAGUACAAUCGCCAAUUGUUUUUGUUUCAAUCACUGCAGAGGAGCUGUGAAGAUUAAUGGCAGAUUGCACGAGUCAUUUUGGUCCAAAUAUGAUUUUAUUGCAAAAUACGAAAACGUUGGUUUGUUCUGUUACCGCACAGACUAUCUAUAGAUGAGGAGAAUUGUCAGGAUAACUCUUUUAUAAAUUCAAUAAAAUUCUGCUCAUAUCUCUGGGAGGUAGACCAAUAUUGUGCUUCAGAAUUGUUAUCAGGGAGUAAUUUUGUUUUCUUCUGUUCAAUUGUCACAAUUUUGAAAUCAUGCAGUUAGCGGCACCUGUUGGCAGUGAGGGAAGUAGAAUUUGUUAAAUCGGCCCAGUCCUGCGUCGACUUUGACUCACCUCCAGAAUGAUUCUCUUGAGCAUCAGUUUUCAGUUCUACCGCGGUCUUCUAGAGAGCGGCAACUUUCGGAGAUUUCAAUUCAGCUUUUUGCUCGUUUUGAAGCUCCGUGGUACUCGCUGGAUUAAAACAAAAUCAAAUACCUUGCAUUGUGCCUUAAAUAGUUUUCACUGCAAAAAAAAUCUAGCUUACAUUUCCUAUAAUUCAUUUCAGAACUUCACCACUCCAUUGGCUGUCAAGUGCUUCAGGGAGCUCUUUUGACUUGUAGUCACUGUCGUUUCAGGAUAUGAAAAGUCUCAGCUGAUUUACGCACAGCAAGAUCCCAUAAUCAGCAACGAGAAGAUUGGUGUUUCACUAUAAAUAGGAUUCUGGUGUUAUCCAGUUUCUACAUAUUAAUAAAACAUUCGACAUAAAAAUACAACGGAAAUGGCAAGUCAUUUACAGCCUCAUCCAAUCUCCUUUCUUCAUUUGUGUUCAAAUAAAUCGAAAGAAUGUUUUCUAUUUGGGCGCAGAGCUUCUAUUUUUAGAUAAGGAAAAUACUGCAGAUGCAGGAGAUCUGAAAUAAAAACAGAAAUUGAUAGAGAAACUCAGCAGGUCUAACAGUAUCUAUGGAGAGAGAAUCAGUGUUAAUAUUUUGAGUCUGAUAUUAGUUUUCUGACGAGACGGCAGUACAAUGCCAUGUGAAGCACGGAGCAAACAUUCACUUCUUCAAUGUGUUCUAAUCCCUGGAGAAUUAAAUGCUGACAGAGUUCAUUUCACGAGUCAAUACUUUCUGUGCACUUCAAUAUUUUGGGUAGGGAAAUUCAGCAUGGAAAAUUACAUGGACCACAGGUUGGUUGCAUUGACCUCUGUCCCAGAAUU